Molecule: ribosomal RNA, 253 nt
Filed under: uncultured bacterium
Lineage: Bacteria
Description: partial 16S ribosomal RNA
Rfam family: Bacterial small subunit ribosomal RNA
Source: RNAcentral
UACGUAGGGUGCAAGCGUUGUCCGGAAUUAUUGGGCGUAAAGAGCUCGUAGGCGGCUUGUCACGUCUGCUGUGAAAACUCGGGGCUCAACCCCGAGCCUGCAGUGGAUACGGGCUAGCUAGAGUGCGGUAGGGGAGUCUGGAAUUCCUGGUGUAGCGGUGAAAUGCGCAGAUAUCAGGAGGAACACCGGUGGCGAAGGCGGGACUCUGGACCGAUACUGACGCUGAGGAGCGAAAGCGUGGGGAGCGAACAGG